GAUGAAGAACGUAGCGAAAUGCGAUAAGUAGUGUGAAUUGCAGAAUUCAGUGAAUCAUCGAAUCUUUGAACGCACAUUGCGCCCCUUGGUAUUCCAUGGGGCAUGCCUGUUCGAGCGUCAUUUGUACCUUCAAGCUCUGCUUGGUGUUGGGUGUUUGUCUCGCCUCUGCGUGUAGACUCGCCUUAAAACAAUUGGCAGCCGGUGUAUUGAUUUCGGAGCGCAGUACAUCUCGCGCUUUGCACUCAUAACGACGACGUCCAAAAGUACAUUUUUACACUCUUGACCUCGGAUCAGGUAGGGAUACCCGCUGAACUUAAGCAUAUCAAUAAGCGGAGGA
Molecule: unclassified non-coding RNA, 337 nt
Filed under: soil metagenome
Description: partial contains 5.8S ribosomal RNA, internal transcribed spacer 2, and large subunit ribosomal RNA
Rfam family: 5.8S ribosomal RNA (bases 1-120)
Source: RNAcentral